RNAcentral lists this long non-coding RNA (1111 nucleotides) under Sinocyclocheilus grahami. RNAcentral's name for it is "lncRNA (ENSSGRG00000017219.1)". Lineage: Eukaryota; Metazoa; Chordata; Actinopteri; Cypriniformes; Cyprinidae. The record is from RNAcentral.
AUGUCCUUAUAGUCUAGGAAGUGGUCUUUAUUCAUGUUUUAUGUGUCAGACUCCCAGUGUAAGGAGGUGGUGGAGAUGCUGGAGCAGGAGGGUCUAGCAGAGAUCAGCCAGAGCAGUGCCAGUGAGCAGGUGGCCUAUCUGCUGGUGGAGAGAGUCACUCUGAUGGAGAGACUGGAGGCUGCGGAAAGAAAACUGGACACCCAGACCCUCACCGGCAACCUCAGAGAGGUGCAUCUUCAGGAAGAGCUGGAUCAUAUGCGUCACACAUUGGAAGAGGAACUCAGGCAGCAAAAGGAAAAUAUGAAUAAGGACCACAGUGAAGAGUUCAAUAGAGAAUGCACAGUGUGCCAGAGGCUGGAGAGGGAUCUGGAAGAGGCAUCGAGUCGUCUUGCUAUGGCACAUAAAGAGAUUCGCCACCUGAAGGAUGAACUAGAUCUCGCUCGUAAGGUCCAAAACGUGUGUGUACCUGACCUGCAGAAAACUGGGGAUGAAGUGGAGCAGUUGGAACAGGAAGUGGACAAGCUUAAACAGUGUGGUGAGAUUGUGUUUGAUACUGCAGCAAGAUAUCACGUGUCUCUUUAAAAACUUCUCACAUUUGGUCAUGGUUUAUGACUAUAUUCAAGUUUAUUUAUAAAACACUUUAAAAAAAAUUACAGUGUAGACAAAGAGCUGUAAAUAAAGACAGAACAAACCAGACAAAACAUAAAAGACAUUUCAAAUGAUGUGUUCUGGUUGUAAUCCACAUGUUGGACAGAUAUGGUGGAGCUGCAGAAGGCCAAGGAACGCAAUGAAAGAUUGGAUAGUGAGAUUUGCGUGCUAAGGUAUAGAGUUCGCUCCUUGGACACAGAGAGGAGGACUCUUCUUAAACUGGCAAGAAUAAUUUUUUUUUAACUGCCACUACCUAUCAGAUAGCAAAGCAUUCUUUUAUUUCAAAGCAGUUUUAUUUGCAAACAGAGAAAUUAUAUAAUUUGCCAUUUUGGGUGUGCCACAGGUUGAACAAUCAAAGCUGCACUCAGAUCAAGGGAUCAAAGUGACAUUAGAGCACAAUAAAAUAAAUUCUACACAGGUACAUAUACAUUACACACUAUUAAAAUCUUCUCCUAAAGGGUUA